AACAACUCUUCUUCUUCUUCUUCUUCACUUCACUUGAUCUUCAUCAUGGCUCCUGACAAGGUUACUGUCAUGAUUUUGAAUGUUGACCUCAAAUGCUCCUGCUGCUACAAGAAGGUCAAGAAACUGCUCUGCAAGUUCCCUCAAAUCAGAGGUCAAGUGUUUGAUCAAG
Molecule: long non-coding RNA, 169 nt
Organism: Cynara cardunculus var. scolymus (artichoke)
Lineage: Eukaryota; Viridiplantae; Streptophyta; Magnoliopsida; Asterales; Asteraceae
Exons: 3
Source: RefSeq, a predicted model, not a curated record